GGGGGAUAUUGCACAAUGGAGGAAACUCUGAUGCAGCGACGCCGCGUGAGGGAAGACGGUCUUCGGAUUGUAAACCUCUGUCUUAGGGGAAGAAAAUGACGGUACCCUAAGAGGAAGCUCCGGCUAACUACGUGCCAGCAGCCGCGGUAAUACGUAGGGAGCGAGCGUUGUCCGGAAUUACUGGGUGUAAAGGGAGCGUAGGCGGGACAGCAAGUUGGAUGUUUAAACUACCGGCUUAACCGGUAUCUGCAUCCAAAACUGCAGUUCUUGAGUGAAGUAGAGGCAGGCGGAAUUCCUAGUGUAGCGGUGAAAUGCGUAGAUAUUAGGAGGAACACCAGUGGCGAAGGCGGCCUGCUGGGCUUUAACUGACGCUGAGGCUCGAAAGCGUGGGGAGCAAAC
This 399-nucleotide ribosomal RNA is filed under the name uncultured bacterium. RNAcentral's name for it is "bacterial SSU rRNA". It matches the Rfam family "Bacterial small subunit ribosomal RNA", at positions 356 to 773 of the family's 1533-position model. The record is from RNAcentral.